This 252-nucleotide ribosomal RNA is filed under the name uncultured bacterium. Its description in RNAcentral is "partial 16S ribosomal RNA". It matches the Rfam family "Bacterial small subunit ribosomal RNA", at positions 524 to 775 of the family's 1533-position model. The record is from RNAcentral.
UACGUAGGGGCCGAGCGUUGUCCGGAGUUAUUGGGCGUAAAGCGCGCGCAGGCGGCCUCGCGCGCCCGACGUGAAAGCCCCCGGCUCAACUGGGGAGGGUCACUCGAUACUGAUCGACUCGAAGGCAGGAGAGGGAAGUGGAAUUCCCGGUGUAGUGGUGAAAUGCGUAGAUAUCGGGAGGAACACCAGUGGCGAAGGCGACUUCCUGGCCUGUUCUUGACGCUGAGGCGCGAAAGCUAGGGGAGCAACGGG